RNAcentral lists this ribosomal RNA (23 nucleotides) under Bromus secalinus (rye brome). RNAcentral describes it as "partial 18S ribosomal RNA". Lineage: Eukaryota; Viridiplantae; Streptophyta; Magnoliopsida; Poales; Poaceae. The record is from RNAcentral.
ACCUGGUUGAAUCCUGCAAGUAG